GCAAGUCGAGCGGAAACGAAGAUAGCUUGCUAUCAGGCGUCGAGCGGCGGACGGGUGAGUAAUGCUUAGGAAUCUGCCCAGUAGUAGGGGAUAGCCCGGGGAAACUCGGAUUAAUACCGUAUACGCCCUUUUGGGGAAAGCAGGGGAUCUUCGGACCUUGCGCUAUUGGAUGAGCCUAAGUCGGAUUAGCUAGUUGGUGGGGUAAUGGCUCACCAAGGCAACGAUCCGUAGCUGGUCUGAGAGGAUGAUC
This 250-nucleotide ribosomal RNA is filed under the name uncultured bacterium. RNAcentral's name for it is "partial 16S ribosomal RNA". It matches the Rfam family "Bacterial small subunit ribosomal RNA", at positions 57 to 305 of the family's 1533-position model. The record is from RNAcentral.